RNAcentral lists this ribosomal RNA (407 nucleotides) under uncultured bacterium. RNAcentral's name for it is "partial 16S ribosomal RNA". It matches the Rfam family "Bacterial small subunit ribosomal RNA", at positions 30 to 526 of the family's 1533-position model. The record is from RNAcentral.
AUUGAACGCUGGCGGCAGGCCUAACACAUGCAAGUCGCGCAGAGCGUCGGACGGGUGAGUAAUGCCUAGGAAUCUGCCUGGUAGUGUGGGAUAACGUCCGGAAACGGGCGCUAAUACCGCAUACUAUCAGAUGAGCCUAGGUCGGAUGCGAUAGUUGGUGGGGUAAAGGCCUACCAAGUCGCCGAUCCGUAACUGGUCUGAGAGGAGGAUCAGUAAAACUGAAACUGAGACACGGUCCAGACUCAUACGGGAGGCAGCAGUGUGGAAUAUUGGACAAUGGGCGAAAGCCUGAUCCAGCCAUGCCGCGUGUGGGAAGAAGGUCUUCGGAUUGUAAAGCACUUUAAGUUGGGAGGCGUUACCAACAGAAUAAGCACCGGCUAACUCCGUGCCAGCAGCCGCGGUAAUAC